Molecule: long non-coding RNA, 1116 nt
Filed under: Oryza sativa (Asian cultivated rice)
Lineage: Eukaryota; Viridiplantae; Streptophyta; Magnoliopsida; Poales; Poaceae
Description: long non-coding RNA (OSAT_LNC001094)
Source: RNAcentral
UCUCUCUCUCCUCCCUCCCCUACUGCAGCGAGCGGCGGCGGCCGGCCGGCAAGGCGCGACGGCGGCGCGCCCUCUCUCUCCUCCCUCCCCUUGCUGCGGCGAGCGGCGAAGGCGGGUCGGCAAGGCGCACACUGCGGUGCGCCCUCUCUCUACUCCCUCCCCUUGCUGCGGCGAGCGGCGGCGGCGGCGAGUAGCCGCCGGUGCGGACCAGCUCGGCUCCCUACACAGCAUUUGAUCGGGGCAGCAUUAGGACUGGUUCAAGAAGCGGCGAGCAAUCGGGCGAAGAGAGAGGUGGCUCGCCGAUGCACAGCCGCAUCAGCGAACUCCGGCCGAUGUCGCGGAUAACCAGGCGGCCGAUGAGCGGCGACAUGGGUGUGUUCAGGGAUGAUGGAUCGAGCUAUGGUUUAGACAACGACGUGCCGACGUCUGCUGCCGCGAGCUACCGCCGCCGGGCGUCGCCUCUGAGCUCCCAAGAACUGGAGGAAUCUGUAGACCUCCCAUUGACGUUCUGAUGCUGUCUGCCUCCCAAUUUCAGCCUGAAAUACAUAAAUAAGAGAGUAAAUACAAAUUCAUUUUGAACCCUCUCUGGAUAAUCUGUGAUUCUUACAGUCAUAUAAUAGAAUUAUUAUGUGAUGUAGCUCGGCAGCAUAUUGCACAAGCAGCUUAUUGCCCAAGAACUAUCGUCGUCGUCGAUGGGGUCGUCGGGAUACCAACCGUCCGAGGCAUCGUCGUCGUCAUUGUACGAAUCAUCCGGCGCGGCGAGGUCGCCGUUGACGGACCCGGUGUUCCAGAGGGACCUGCUGCAGGCGCUGGACAACCUUCGGAGGGUCAUCGCUGCAGUUGAGCAGUCGUACGGCGUCGAGGCGCACCUGCAACAAGCCGGCAUGCUUCCCAAGAGCGCGUCCUGCAACGACGCCGACGCCGGCGGCGGCGACGCGUACGCAGCAGUCACGCGGCGCAACUCCCGCCUCAUGCGCCGCCUCGAGUCGCAGCUCGUGCAGGCGCUGCCCCGGGACGGCCGCCGCUCGCCCUACUCCAUCGGCCGGAGAGAGGGAAGGGAUAGAGAGAAGAGGGGAGAGAGAGGAUAGAGAAGAGAGAAGAGUGAGGAUGGCAUAU